UUAAGUUCAGCGGGUAAUCCUACCUGAUUUGAGGUCAAGUGGUCAAAUAAGUUGUCCGCGAUGGCAGACGGCUGUGAGCUGGGUGAAUGUGACCUCGCCGAGUGUAGAUAACUAUCACACAAGGCUGCAGAUCGCACAAGAUGAGCCCCUGCUAAUGCUUUUCAGAGGAGCCGGUCCAGCAGAGGGCCAGCAGAACCUCC
This 200-nucleotide unclassified non-coding RNA is filed under the name Pluteus sp. RNAcentral's name for it is "partial internal transcribed spacer 2". Lineage: Eukaryota; Fungi; Basidiomycota; Agaricomycetes; Agaricales; Pluteaceae. The record is from RNAcentral.